AUUGAACGCUGGCGGCAGGCCUAACACAUGCAAGUCGAACGAGUGGCGGACGGGUGAGUAAUGUCUGGGAAACUGCCCGUUGGAGGGGGAUCACUACUGGAAACGGUAGCUAAUACCGCAUACCAUCGGAUGUGCCCAGAUGGGAUGGGCUUGUAGGUGAGGUAACGGCUCACCUAGGCGACGAUCCCCAGCUGGUCUGAGAGGAUGACCAGACACACUGGAACGGAGACACGGUCCAGCAUCCGACGGGAGGCAGCAGUGGGGAAUAUUGCACAAUGGGCGCAAGCCUGAUGCAGCCAUGCCGCGUGUGUGAAGAAGGCGUUCGGGUUGUAAAGUACUGUCAGCGGGGAGGCGUUACCCGAAGAAGAAGCACCGGCUAACUCCGUGCCAGCCGCCGCGGUAAUAC
Molecule: ribosomal RNA, 406 nt
Filed under: uncultured bacterium
Lineage: Bacteria
Description: partial 16S ribosomal RNA
Rfam family: Bacterial small subunit ribosomal RNA
Source: RNAcentral